UUAGAGUUUGAUCUUGGCGCAGGAUGAACGCUAGCGGCAGGCUUAACACAUGCAAGUCGAGGGGCAGCGAGAUCAGUGCUUGCACUGAUUGUCGGCGACCGGCGCACGGGUGCGUAACGCGUAUGCAACCUACCCAUUACAGGGGGAUAACACUGAGAAAUCGGUACUAAUACCCCAUAACAUCCAGGGAGGCAUCUUCUUGGGUUGAAAACUCCGGUGGUAAUGGAUGGGCAUGCGUUGUAUUAGUUAGUUGGUGGGGUAACGGCUCACCAAGACAACGAUACAUAGGGGGACUGAGAGGUUAACCCCCCACAUUGGUACUGAGACACGGACCAAACUCCUACGGGAGGCAGCAGUGAGGAAUAUUGGUCAAUGGACGCAAGUCUGAACCAGCCAUGCCGCGUGCAGGAAGACGGCUCUAUGAGUUGUAAACUGCUUUUGUACGAGGGUAAACGCAGAUACGCGUAUCUGUCUGAAAGUAUCGUACGAAUAAGGAUCGGCUAACUCCGUGCCAGCAGCCGCGGUAAUACGGAGGAUUCAAGCGUUAUCCGGAUUUAUUGGGUUUAAAGGGUGCGUAGGCGGUCGGAUAAGUUAGAGGUGAAAUCCCGGGGCUCAACUUCGGAAUUGCCUCUGAUACUGUUCGGCUAGAGAGUAGUUGCGGUAGGCGGAAUGUAUGGUGUAGCGGUGAAAUGCUUAGAGAUCAUACAGAACACCGAUUGCGAAGGCAGCUUACCAAGCUACUUCUGACGUUGAGGCACGAAAGCGUGGGGAGCAAACAGGAUUAGAUACCCUGGUAGUCCACGCAGUAAACGAUGAUAACUCGUUGUCGGCGAUACAGUGUCGGUGACUAAGCGAAAGCGAUAAGUUAUCCACCUGGGGAGUACGUUCGCAAGAAUGAAACUCAAAGGAAUUGACGGGGGCCCGCACAAGCGGAGGAACAUGUGGUUUAAUUCGAUGAUACGCGAGGAACCUUACCCGGGCUUGAAAGUUAGUGACGGAUCUUGAAAGAGGUCUUCCCUUCGGGGCACGAAACUAGGUGCUGCAUGGUUGUCGUCAGCUCGUGCCGUGAGGUGUCGGGUUAAGUCCCAUAACGAGCGCAACCCCUACCGUUAGUUGCCAGCAGGUCAAGCUGGGCACUCUGACGGGACUGCCGGUGUAAGCCGAGAGGAAGGUGGGGAUGACGUCAAAUCAGCACGGCCCUUACGUCCGGGGCUACACACGUGUUACAAUGGCAGGUACAGAGGGCAGCUACCCAGCGAUGGGAUGCGAAUCUCGAAAGCCUGUCUCAGUUCGGAUUGGAGGCUGAAACCCGCCUCCAUGAAGUUGGAUUCGCUAGUAAUCGCGCAUCAGCCAUGGCGCGGUGAAUACGUUCCCGGGCCUUGUACACACCGCCCGUCA
This 1398-nucleotide ribosomal RNA is filed under the name uncultured bacterium. Its description in RNAcentral is "16S ribosomal RNA". It matches the Rfam family "Bacterial small subunit ribosomal RNA". The record is from RNAcentral.